CUCGAGUGGCGAACGGGUGAGUAACACGUGGGUGAUCUGCCCUGCACUUCGGGAUAAGCUUGGGAAACUGGGUCUAAUACCGGAUAGGAACCAUCUUUAGUGUGGUGGUUGGAAAGUUUUUUCGGUGUAGGAUGAGCUCGCGGCCUAUCAGCUUGUUGGUGGGGUAAUGGCCUACCAAGGCGGCGACGGGUAGCCGGCCUGAGAGGGUGUACGGCCACAUUGGGACUGAGAUACGGCCCAGACUCCUACGGGAGGCAGCAGUGGGGAAUAUCGCACAAUGGGCGCAAGCCUGAUGCAGCGACGCCGCGUGGGGGAUGAAGGCCUUCGGGUUGUAAACUCCUUUCGCUAGGGACGAAGCUUUUUGUGACGGUACCUAGAUAAGAAGCACCGGCUAACUACGUGCCAGCAGCCGCGGUAAUACGUAGGGUGCGAGCGUUGUCCGGAAUUACUGGGCGUAAAGGGCUCGUAGGUGGUUUGUCGCGUCGUCUGUGAAAUUCUGGGGCUUAACUCCGGGCGUGCAGGCGAUACGGGCAUAACUUGAGUGCUGUAGGGGUAACUGGAAUUCCUGGUGUAGCGGUGAAAUGCGCAGAUAUCAGGAGGAACACCGAUGGCGAAGGCAGGUUA
This 624-nucleotide ribosomal RNA is filed under the name uncultured Actinomycetales bacterium. RNAcentral describes it as "bacterial SSU rRNA". It matches the Rfam family "Bacterial small subunit ribosomal RNA", at positions 90 to 728 of the family's 1533-position model. The record is from RNAcentral. Lineage: Bacteria; Bacillati; Actinomycetota; Actinomycetes; Actinomycetales.